This 281-nucleotide small nuclear RNA is filed under the name Ovis aries (sheep). Its description in RNAcentral is "7SK RNA". It matches the Rfam family "7SK RNA". From Rfam's summary of the family: 7SK was discovered as an abundant small nuclear RNA in the mid-70s but a possible function has only recently been suggested. Two independent studies have found that 7SK RNA binds the CDK9/cyclin T complex (known as elongation factor P-TEFb). P-TEFb activates transcription by phosphorylating the C-terminal domain of RNA polymerase II. Lineage: Eukaryota; Metazoa; Chordata; Mammalia; Artiodactyla; Bovidae. The record is from Rfam by way of RNAcentral.
GGGUGUUAGGAACUUUUCUAAGAACUUUACAUCUGUCACCUUGUUGAUUUGUCUAAUCUACCUGGGUAUGUAUGUGUGCCCUGCAUCUGUCACUACUCCAUGCAAGUGCCUCCCCAGUCUGUGGACACAAGAGAAUAACCUUCCUCAUAGACGGGAACUCAUUCCUCCAAUAAGCUUAUAGGAGUCACCGUGUUCCCCUGCUCGAGCCUCCUAACAAGCUUUUGAAAUCCAUUUCUAAGAGAAUAAAACAGUUCAUUUUUAAAAUACACAUUAAAAAUUUU